GACGAACGCUGGCGGCGUGCCUAAUACAUGCAAGUAGAACGCACAGUUUAUACCGUAGCUUGCUACACCGUAGACUGUGAGUUGCGAACGGGUGAGUAACGCGUAGGUAACCUGCCUGGUAGCGGGGGAUAACUAUUGGAAACGAUAGCUAAUACCGCAUAAUAUUGAUUAUUGCAUGAUAAUUGAUUGAAAGAUGCUAUUGCAUCACUACCAGAUGGACCUGCGUUGUAUUAGCUAGUAGGUGAGCUAACGGCUCACCUAGGCGACGAUACAUAGCCGACCUGAGAGGGUGAUCGGCCACACUGGGACUGAGACACGGCCCAGACUCCUACGGGAGGCAGCAGUAGGGAAUCUUCGGCAAUGGACGAAAGUCUGACCGAGCAACGCCGCGUGAGUGAAGAAGGUUUUCGGAUCGUAAAGCUCUGUUGUAAGAGAAGAACGGGUGUGAGAGUGGAAAGUUCACACUGUGACGGUAUCUUACCAGAAAGGGACGGCUAACUACGUG
This 505-nucleotide ribosomal RNA is filed under the name uncultured bacterium. RNAcentral describes it as "partial 16S ribosomal RNA". It matches the Rfam family "Bacterial small subunit ribosomal RNA", at positions 28 to 507 of the family's 1533-position model. The record is from RNAcentral.